UACGUAGGGUGCGAGCGUUGUCCGGAAUUAUUGGGCGUAAAGGGCUCGUAGGCGGUUUGUCACGUCGGGAGUGAAAACUCGGGGCUUAACUCCGAGCCUGCUUCCGAUACGGGCUGACUAGAGGUAUGCAGGGGAGAACGGAAUUCCUGGUGUAGCGGUGAAAUGCGCAGAUAUCGGGAAGAACACCCGUGGCGAAGGCGGCUCUCUGGAACGCAACUGACGCUGAGACGCGAAAGCGUGGGGAGCAAACAGG
Molecule: ribosomal RNA, 253 nt
Filed under: uncultured bacterium
Lineage: Bacteria
Description: partial 16S ribosomal RNA
Rfam family: Bacterial small subunit ribosomal RNA
Source: RNAcentral